UUGAUGGGGUUCAUCUACGCCUGCUAUGUGGUCAAGCUCAUUUCAGAAGAAGAGGAUAGCUUUGAUUUUAUAGGAGGGUUCGACUCAUACGGUUACCAGGGGCCUCAGAAGACCUCCCACCUUCAGCUACAGCCCAUGUACAUGUCGAAGUAAACCCAGGAGCUACUCCCGGAGCGCUGCCUUACCAAUCACCACUGCUUAACAUCCUGCUCCUACUACUCAGACUGUCUCUUGAUAAACAACAACAAAGACAAGUAGACAGGAUACAGAAGAUAUUCUGCGUCUCAGCCUACAAAUCCCCUCUCUAGUACUUGGUCAGAUUGCCUCUCUGGUCUGCUGUUUAUAACCGAGUCAGGUCUGUUCCUGAUGAAACACUGGCCUCGUGUGGCUGAACAUGGCAACUGCAGGACAUGUGAGCAACACCAGUCCAUGCAGCUUCUAUAACAGCUGCUUUUUUUUUGUCUCUGUUGGACACAAUCAGGAGUGGACGACUUGCUUCCUCUUGUGAGGUUGGGUAUCUGCAUUGUGAAGGAAACCACAGGGAUGUAGAGAAACCCACUGGAGUUCAGCCCUGUUUCUUCAAGCUACUGCAGACACGUGCAGGUAUGCCUGACCAAAGAGUUUAAAUAAAACAGAGACACAUCGUCAUGUAUAAAUAGAGUCUGUUUAACCAUCUCUGGAACUUUCUGCUCUCUGUGCCUGACACAUCAGACACUGGACUUCCAACCAGACCGACUGAGCAUCAUUUAACAACACUACCGAUACAGGAAUGUCAGACAUCUUUUUUUCUAAGGUUACUUUUUGGUGCAUUCGGACUCUUGUUGCAGCAAAGACGGGAGCUCGAACACAAUUUUAUUCCGUGGUUUCAUCUGAAACGUUGAAUGUCAAACAACAGCUCGACAUGUAGAUUUACAUACCUUCAUUCCACAUGUGCAUGUGUAUACGAAACACACACAUUCACAUAGACAGGCAUUCAGUAAUGCAUAUGUGAAUCCACACAUGCAUGCACAAACACACACACACACACACACACACACAUACCCACACAUAACAGAUGUAUUAACGUUUUUACUACUAAUGUGAAUCUUAACAAUGUUUACAGUAGAAAUCAGUCUGCCGGACAGAAAGACUGAACGCCUGACAGACAGGCGGACUCUCUAGCUGCAGCAUCCCAAAGGCCACGGGGUGUUUUCUGCCAUAUUAAUACAGACGGGACAGCUGUUCCAGAUGUGUCUCUUGCUGUCUAAAUAUUUUGUCUUCCAUCCAAGACAGAGCAGUGGAGGUAGAUAGAGAUAGAGACAGAACACGACAAAGAAAACAACCCCAGAAGAGGCAACAGUUUCCACCUCAGUCCUUUUGUAGCUCUCAAUGCCAAGCUUCAGUCGUCACACAUCUCUGUCAGCAAGCAAGUUUUCCCUUUUUCUUAAUUAUAAAAAAAGGCUGGAGGCCAGAUCAAGCGCCCAGUCAGCCCAAUCUACAGCAGCCACCUCUUCGCAAAGGUUCAGUGUGUAGGAUUUAUGGGGAUAUUUUGGCAAGAGUGGAAUAUAAUAAGAAUCGUCGUGUUUUUGUUUCCUUAGAAUGAGCCGUUUAUGUCGACAUAGGGAGCAGGUCAUAGAUGUAUUAAAAGACCUAGAUGCAGCGUUUGAGGGGCACAUGAAGCCAAAAACAUUCAACUACCGCAUAUAAAAAUUACCUGAAUGAUUGGUGCUGCUUCUACAUCAUCGGGCACACAGAGCAGGUGCAAUGGAGAAUUUCAGUGGUUGAGCUGGCGGCACAGCGGUACCCUCAGAGCAAGAGGGUUCCUGGUUCGACCCCUUCUGUCCCCUUGUCAGCGUGGGUUUCCUCCAGGUACUCCAGCUUCCUCCCACAGUCCAAAGACAUGCAGGUUAACUGGUGACUCUAAAUUGUCCGUAGGUGUGAAUGUGAGUGUGAAUGGUUGUCUGUCUCUGUGUGUCAGCCCUGUGAUAGUCUGGUGACCUGUCCAGGGUGAACCCUGCCUCUCGCCCAAUGUCAGCUGGGAUAGGCUCCAACCCCCCUGCUACCCCUAACAGAACAAGCAGUUACGGAGAAUGAAUGAAUGAAUAAUUGUGCUGGUUACUUACGGCUGGCUCUAGAUAGGGCCAUUUGUAUUUUCGUGUCUGCCACCGUAGCUAGCAGCCCCUCCAUGAGGAACAAGUCAGAAAUACACAGAUUUCUUAAAUGUGAAACUGCUUUAUUCAAUGUUUUUAGAAGUUUAAAUCACUGUGUCCGUUUGUUUAGAGGUCGAGACCUCUGUGGAUAAUUCAGAUCCUGGUUAAAACCUCCUGAACAUCCAGAUCUUAAAUUGUCAGAGAAUAAAGGUGAGGAUAGAUUAGCAGGUGCUAUGCUAGCAGCCCAUCUCUGACAUGCCAAAGCCACAGUAGAAACACUGAUUGUUAGCGUAAAACUGCUUUAUUCGUUGUUUUUACCGGUUUUAAUCACCAGGCCCAUUUGUUUUGAGGAGCAAGAGAUCUCUGCGGAUAAUUCAGCUCCCGUUAAAAACCUUAUUAACACUGUACACUGAAGGAAUUCUAACCAGGAGAAGUUUAAGGUUGUUGCAAUCUGCAAUCCUCACCACUAGAUGCCGCUAAAUCCCCCCUAAAUCUCGCACACUGGACCUUUAAUAACAGAAAAACUUCACAAGCAUAAAGAGAAAAGAAUCACCUUUCACAGUAAUGACAAUCACAGUCAGUGGCCUAAAUCUCUUCAUGGAUUGUACCAUAAAAUUAUGGCAAAAAGCUGAUAAAAGCCUGUCAUCGCCAUGUGGGAAUAGAGAAGCUUCCAAGUUAGAUUAUUUGAGUAAUUAUUUGUUGUUUUGAGUGAUAACUGCAUCCCCAAACCACUGGUGGAUGACAAAGAUUGGAACGAGAAGGAGAAAUGAUACGACAGAGGCUGAAUCUUCGAUGACACUCCCCCUCGCCUGCAGACUAACGAGGACAAAAAUUGUACCAGAGGGAUGCCAGAGUCUCAUCGGCUCCCCUCUCUUCACCUCACCACUCGAAUCCUAAUGUUGAAAGUGCCAACUAUAUCACCACACGGACAUCUGUAGAGCCUGGUGUCUGGGAGCCAGAGACUGGGACCAGAAAUAAUGGGUCUCAGGUUCACUUCUCUCGAGUUCCCAUGAGAGGAAAAAUAGCGAGGAUAUCACCAAUCAAAAAAUUCACAUUUGCAUUCCAGGCAGCCGACGGGUUUUCUUCUUUUAUUCUGUUAAGAAGAAAAUCAGCUGAUUCCUUAUGUUGCAAUCACUGGACCAAAAGUUUGAGGCCUUCCCCGUCAACCAAGGGACAUUUCUGGGUUGAAUCACUGACAAAAGGACGGACUUACUCCCCUCUUUAAACAACAAAGUCCACCCUCUGCCCUCCCUCUGCCAGAUAUCUUCAGCAGUUCAUGUUUUGUAACAAAACUCUGUGUUCAAAGUCGCUGCCCGGCGAGGCUCCCCCAGACCGGAGGACAGAAACAACAUUUUGUGUGUUUGCAUGAGGUGUUUCCAAACUGUUGCGUAUUUAAUCUCAUGCUGCGUGUGACUAACUAGCUACUUAAAACGGAAACUGUUUGGUUUGUUGAAUGCUCCUCAGCUCUCUUCAAAGAGUCCUAAAUGUGAACUUUGUGAUUUUUUCUAUAAAUAACAACAGUCUGAAAUGUCUGCAGAGUAAAAGGAGAUAAAAAUAGCUACUACAAUGUAAAACGAUGAAAUGUAACUUUGAACUUCUAGACGUUUUUUAAUCACAUGUGGCCGUGUUUACUGUUUUUUCUAGUUGACUACUAAUGUAUGAUGUUGUGUACAAGUGGGACUACUAUGUUUUAUUUCUUCUAAUUGUACAGUGUAUUUUGAGACGAGAGAGUAUGAGGAGAACGGGGAGGAAAAGGGAACUAGUUGCACUAUAGUCUGUAAUUCUUUCAUUAAGCGCUCUGUCAGGGCUGAAAUUCACUUUCACUUCAGCACAUAAUUAACAAUAUUAAUUUAUAUCUGAACUGUCAGCCAACACCUCACGUUUCUUUUCAAUAAAUGAAAUGACUG
This is a long non-coding RNA of Epinephelus moara (kelp grouper), 4036 nucleotides long. RefSeq lists it as uncharacterized. Lineage: Eukaryota; Metazoa; Chordata; Actinopteri; Perciformes; Serranidae. The record is from RefSeq and is a predicted model, not a curated record. The transcript has 3 exons.